GAUUAACGCUAGCGGCAGGCCUAAUACAUGCAAGUCGAACGGCAGCGGGUGUAGCAAUACAUGCCGGCGGGUGGCGCACGGGUGCGUAACGCGUAUGCAAUCUACCUGUAACUGGGGAAUAGCCUUCCGAAAGGAAGAUUAAUACCGCAUAAUAUCACGAAGUGGCAUCACUUUGUGAUCAAAACUCCGGUGGUUACAGAUGAGCAUGCGUGACAUUAGCUAGUUGGUGAGGUAACGGCUCACCAAGGCGACGAUGUCUAGGGGGUCUGAGAGGAUGACUCCCCACACUGGUACUGAGACACGGACCAGACUCCGUACGGGGAGGCAGCAGUAAGGAAUAUUGGACAAUGGCCGCAAGGCUGA
RNAcentral lists this ribosomal RNA (363 nucleotides) under uncultured bacterium. Its description in RNAcentral is "bacterial SSU rRNA". It matches the Rfam family "Bacterial small subunit ribosomal RNA", at positions 28 to 386 of the family's 1533-position model. The record is from RNAcentral.